UAGCGAGGGGGGCGAGCGUUGUUCGGAAUUAUUGGGCGUAAAGGGUGCGUAGGCGGCCUGACAAGUCUGAUGUGAAAUCCCUGGGCUCAACCCAGGCCUGCAUCGGAAACUGUCGGGCUUGAGUAUGGGAGAGGUGAGUGGAAUUUCCGGUGUAGCGGUGAAAUGCGUAGAUAUCGGAAGGACACCUGUGGCGAAAGCGGCUCACUGGACCACUUAC
Molecule: ribosomal RNA, 217 nt
Filed under: uncultured bacterium
Lineage: Bacteria
Description: partial 16S ribosomal RNA
Rfam family: Bacterial small subunit ribosomal RNA
Source: RNAcentral